This 2200-nucleotide long non-coding RNA is filed under the name Stegodyphus dumicola. RNAcentral describes it as "uncharacterized LOC118193120". The record is from RNAcentral. Lineage: Eukaryota; Metazoa; Arthropoda; Arachnida; Araneae; Eresidae.
AAUGCGUUUACGCAUGCGCAGAAAGUUUGUAGCUUUGAGGUCCGGAUUAUAGGUGUCCGAAUUAACGACUUUUGACUGUAUCUACAUUUAAACAAAUAUUUUACACAGAAAAAAGAGGAAUACUAAAUUUCAUGUAAUAAGUUAAAAACUGUAGUUUAAAAUACCAGUUUUCAAAACUUAUAAUUUAAUAAGAAUUUUGGUUUAAAUCUAAAAAGAACUUUUCUCAUACCUAAUAAAUAUCAUUGCACAGCAAUAGAGUUUUUUUUCCAAAUUAAAAAUUUAUAAUUCAAAUGACAAAUGCAAGUUUAGCUUUAAUGCAACUAAAAUUAAAACCAGCAAAAUGCAAUAAAAAUUGACAUAUAUUCUAAAUAUGUGAUAAUGUUUAACUGUAACCCAUCAAUAAAUAUUAAGUUUACAGAGCUAGAAAAUUUAUAUUAUUUACAACAUUUAAUUUUGAAAUAUCUGAAAAAAGGAAGUUAUUAAUUGAUUCUCUUUAACUACUUUUCAGAUGUGUUUAAAAUACAUAAAUAUCUAUCUGAAUUAACUGCCCUAGUAACAAGCACAGUCUUGAUUUUCAAUGAAAGAUCUAACAUAUUCAUAAACUUUAUGACUGUUUUGAAGCAUAGGUGGAUUUUAAAGUUACCUCUUUAUUUUUUAUGAUAAAAUGAUUUUUUUUUAUAAAACUGAAAGGAGAUAAUAGAAGAGAAUACUUUUAUGUUAAGAAUAAGAAAUGAAUUAACAAUCCUAUAUUUGCAAACUCGAUGAAAUUUCACUCUCUGUAAACACAUCAUUAUGGCUGUUAAUUCUCCUUUAUCAAUGUUACGGUGAUACUACAGUAUCUUCAGUCACAUAUGUGCUAUUAGCUCACAAACUGAUUCACUUUACUGAGUGAUAAAAUGCCUGAUUUGCGAAAAAAAAAAGAGAAAGCUCUUUUAGAGUUGACCAACGAAGAGCUCUUGUAGGAAGUGUGCCAGAAAAUUCAAUUUCCAUUUAAGUUGAGAAAAAAAGUGUUUCAUCCUAUUAUAUUAAAACUCAGUUUAAUUUUUAUCAUUUCCUAACUUAAAAAAAAAAUUGUUUAUUUUACAAUCUCAUUGUUAGUCAGUUAUAUGUAGAAAGGAGAUUUUAGGGAAUAGCAGAACUACAGUUGAAAGAAAUCAGUUCAGAGGGUUAACAUUUGACUGAGUCGAUUCUUCAUAUCCCAUGGCUAUACGCAUUUCACUUCAUUCUUCUCAUCUGUUCCUGAUCUCACUUCUCGCCAGAUUCUUUAUGUUCUUUGCUUCAUCUCAACUAAUCAUUCUAGACUCACUCGCUAUUCUAGAUUCUCGCUUUUUUGCUAAAAGUUAUUAUCAGUAAGUCAUAAAAAGGAACUGAUUCAAUUCAGUGAAUAAAUAGUUCUAAUUUAAUUCCAUAAAAGAGCAGUUCUGCUAGUCUCUGCCUCCAGUAAUAUUCUGAUUGUACUUUUGAUCUCAAGUAAACAUUAAAAUAUACUUGAACACAAAUUAGAAAAUAUCUCCAAACUGAUGAUAAUGUGAAGUUAUAGGUAGAUAUCAAUAAACAUAGAAAUUAAGAAACUUAAACACAUUAAAAUUUACAGGAUAAACUAUUAAUACUUGGCUGUCAUCUUUACUUAUCCUUUGAGUUUUCCAAAAAGACAAUCAUAAUGUAUAUGCACCUGCUGAGCUUCUAUUAUACAUUAAGAUGAUGUUAUUCCUGCAUGCAGAAAAAAUUAAAAUAAUCUUUGCUAUUUGAAAAUAAGGCUUAUAAUAAUUAUAGUAUAUUGAAAAAAAAUUUUGCUUUUAUAUUACUAUAAAAUAAAGAGUCAAAUUACGCAUUAACUUAAAAAAUAUACAAAAAUAAAAACUGCAGGUUUAUUAUCUUCAGAUUAAAACAGAAUAUUACAUAUUUAUUUAUUAUUCUUCAGUAAACAAAAAUAUCACUAAAAUAUAAUUACAAAAUUACUAAAAAUAAACACAUAUUUAUAUAAAAUUUGCAACUUGUAAAAAAACAAUCAAAAGUAUAAAAUUUGCAUUUGUCAUUCCUUUAGCAAACUUUUAAGGUUUACUGCCAUGGUUAUCUUAAGUUUACACUUAAAUAUCUAUGAAAAUCUGUACAAUAAUAGAGUAAUGAUGAUGAAAAGUAUAUAUGCAAAGCUAUAAAAUUUGUUUUUACAAUCAUAUUUUUUAUCAUCACUAAGAAUUUA